UGCAGAGGGUGCGAGCGUUAAUCGGAAUUACUGGGCGUAAAGCGCACGUAGGUGCCGACGUAAGUCGGGUGUGAAAGCCCCGAGCUCAACCUGGGAAUUGCAUUCGAGACUGCAUUGCUGGAGUACGGAAGAGGAGGGCGGAAUUACCGGUGUAGCGGUGAAAUGCGUAGAUAACGGGAGGAACAUCAGUGGCGAAGGCGGCCCUCUGGUCCAGUACUGACACUCAAGUGCGAAAGCGUGGGGAGCAAACAGG
Molecule: ribosomal RNA, 253 nt
Filed under: uncultured bacterium
Lineage: Bacteria
Description: partial 16S ribosomal RNA
Rfam family: Bacterial small subunit ribosomal RNA
Source: RNAcentral